ACCAUAAAACAGCAACAGCGACCCACUGCAGAUUCUCCUCCAAACAGGAAUAUGGCAAAGGCGUGGUUCUGAUCCAGGAAGGGGAAGGAUCCCCAAGGGGGAAAAAUAAGACAAGAGAAUCUAUGAAAGUAACAAGGAAUUUCAUCCUUCAGUGGAUUUCAGAAUGGAUAUUUUAGACUCAGCCAUCCGUAAACAUUGGUUGUGAAGGCUGAAGAUCAAAUUGCCAAGUGGAAUCCCAUCCAUCACGGGGACCAACACCAGCCAUCUGCUCCCCACCACCACCUUCAAAGAGCACAUGGAAGCUGGGCAGCUGGCUGGCAGCUGGAAGGAGGGCAAGAUGGCCUGGCCAG
RNAcentral lists this long non-coding RNA (350 nucleotides) under Sus scrofa (pig). RNAcentral's name for it is "lncRNA (ENSSSCG00025046056.1, ENSSSCG00070019387.1)". Lineage: Eukaryota; Metazoa; Chordata; Mammalia; Artiodactyla; Suidae. The record is from RNAcentral.